RNAcentral lists this ribosomal RNA (443 nucleotides) under uncultured bacterium. RNAcentral's name for it is "partial 16S ribosomal RNA". It matches the Rfam family "Bacterial small subunit ribosomal RNA", at positions 338 to 795 of the family's 1533-position model. The record is from RNAcentral.
ACUACGGGUUGCAGCAGUGGGGAAUAUUGGGCAAUGGGCGCAAGCCUGACCCAGCAACGCCGCGUGAAGGAAGAAGGCUUUCCGGUUGUAAACUUCUUUUAUCAGGGGCGUAGCACGUGACGGUUCCUGAUCAUUACGCCACGGCUAACUACGUGCCCGCAGCCGCGGCAAUACGGCGGUGGCAAGCGUUCUGCGGAUUUACUGGGUGUAAAGGGCGUGUAGGCGGGAGGGCAAGUGAGAUGUGAAAACUACGGGCUCAACCCAUGGCCUGGAGUUGACACUGGAGUGCUUGAGUGCGGGGGAGGCAGGCGGAAUUAGGGGUGUAGCGGUGAAAUGCGUAGAUAUACGGAGGAACACCAGUGGCGAAGGCGGAUUGCUGGAGAGGAACUGACGCUGAGGCGCGAAAGCGUGGGGAGCAAACAGGAUUAGAUACCCGGGUAGUC